RNAcentral lists this ribosomal RNA (305 nucleotides) under uncultured bacterium. Its description in RNAcentral is "bacterial SSU rRNA". It matches the Rfam family "Bacterial small subunit ribosomal RNA", at positions 28 to 313 of the family's 1533-position model. The record is from RNAcentral.
GACGAACGCUGGCGGCGUGCCUAAUACAUGCAAGUCGAACGCUCUUUUCUUAUCGAACUUCGGUUCACCAAGAAAAGGGAGUGGCGAACGGGUGAGUAACACGUGGGCAAUCUGCCCUAAAGACUGGGAUACCACUUGGAAACAGGUGCUAAUACCGGAUAACAACAUGAAUCGCAUGAUUCAAGUUUGAAAGGCGGCGUAAGCUGUCACUUUAGGAUGAGCCCGCGGCGCAUUAGCUAGUUGGUGGGGUAAAAGCCUACCAAGGCAAUGAUGCGUAGCCGAGUUGAGAGACUGAACGGCCACAC